This 301-nucleotide ribosomal RNA is filed under the name uncultured Haloterrigena sp. Its description in RNAcentral is "bacterial SSU rRNA". It matches the Rfam family "Bacterial small subunit ribosomal RNA", at positions 494 to 795 of the family's 1533-position model. Lineage: Archaea; Methanobacteriati; Methanobacteriota; Halobacteria; Halobacteriales; Natrialbaceae. The record is from RNAcentral.
CGGAUAGUGCUUGUCCUGCGGCCGGGGUAUUACGGGUGGGGGGACGGUUGUCCGGAAACACUUGGCGUAAAGGGCGCGUAGGUGGCGCUCCAAGUGCGUGGUGAAAGCUCUAUGCUGAACAUCGAGGCGGCCACGGGGACUGGAGGGCUCGAGCACUGUAGGGGCAGAUGGAAUUCCGGGUGUGGCGGUGGAAUGCGUAGAGAUCCGGAAGAACACCGGUGGCGAAGGCGGUCUGCUGGGCAGUAGCUGACACUGAGGCGCGACAGCGUGGGGAGCAAACAGGAUUAGAUACCCGAGAGUC